UACGUAGGGGGCAAGCGUUGUCCGGAUUUAUUGGGCGUAAAGAGCGUGUAGGCGGCCACACAGGUCAGCUGUGAAAACUCGAGGCUCAACCUCGAGACGUCGGUUGAAACCGUAUGGCUAGAGUCCGGAAGAGGAGAGUGGAAUUCCCGGUGUAGCGGUGAAAUGCGCAGAUAUCGGGAAGAACACCCGUGGCGAAGGCGGCUCUCUGGGACGGUACUGACGCUGAGACGCGGAAAGCGUGGGGAGCGAACGAGG
This 255-nucleotide ribosomal RNA is filed under the name uncultured bacterium. Its description in RNAcentral is "partial 16S ribosomal RNA". It matches the Rfam family "Bacterial small subunit ribosomal RNA", at positions 524 to 777 of the family's 1533-position model. The record is from RNAcentral.